This is a small nuclear RNA of Pteronotus mesoamericanus, 107 nucleotides long. The record is from RefSeq and is a predicted model, not a curated record. NCBI's taxonomy places the organism in Eukaryota, Metazoa, Chordata, Mammalia, Chiroptera, Mormoopidae.
GUGCUGACUUCGGCAGCACAUAUACUAAAAUUGGAAUGAUGAUACGCAAAUUAGCAUGGUCCCUGUGCAAGGGUGACAUGCAAAUUUGUGAAGCAUUCCAGAAUUUA